ACGGAACACGAGUUCGUGAAAGAGGAGGAGCUAGAGGAAGGGUCAGAUCUUCCUCAUCUUGUUCCUUAUGCCAGAGUCAGGCUCCAACUCCAAACUUUUUCUGCCAAGAUUGAAUCCAAGGGUUAUCUUAGAGUUGGUCCUCAUUACAAAUACAAUAUGUUUGCUGCUGGAGAUGAAGGCAAUAAAGAGAAGACUGUAGUUUAGUAUAGGGGUGUGGUGGAUAUUAGGAAUUAGAAUUUGAGCAUGAAUGACAAGUAGCCAAAGAAAGAAUUGAUGGAUAGCAAAGUGAUAUGAAAGCUCUAGCCACCCUGAAUCCAACUUUGUUGCCAAGACAUGCAUGCCAAUCUGCCUCUACAAGUCUACAAAUAAAGAAAAGUUUAGGGGACUAACAACUUUAUUAAAUUAUGGCCAGUAACCAGCAAAAAAAAGUGAGUCAUUAGAUAAAAUGUCACAUCAAUCUCACAACAUUAAAAUCACCAUUAAUGGUUAUUUGAUGGCUACAAAU
Non-coding RNA from Arachis ipaensis, 505 nucleotides. The record is from RefSeq and is a predicted model, not a curated record. NCBI's taxonomy places the organism in Eukaryota, Viridiplantae, Streptophyta, Magnoliopsida, Fabales, Fabaceae.